GAACUGUUAUAAGCUGUUGUAACCAAUGAAGCAAAAUAUUAAUUGUUUGUAAUAUGAGCUAAAAUGGAAGGUGUAAGUAGGAGAAUAGGACACCCUGUUCAAGCGGUUGCCGGGGAGAGAAAGAUUUAGUAUGUCUGUCUUUUGAGAAACAGGACACAGGUUAGAGGCGCACACACAUAGUCGGACAGACACCACAAGGGGGGCAAGGGGGGUACUUGCAGUUAUCCUAUAAGGAAUAGAACUGGGAUUGGGCCAAGGACACACAUGCUUUGUAAGUUAACACCUCUAUCUUUUUGGGCGUAGUAGAAGUAUAAAAAUGAUGUUUUGACUGUUGAUCCUUAGACACUGUGCGGCGACACUUGUCUCCAGAAGCUUCUGUAAUAAAUGGAUAUACGAUACGGUAAUUGACCUGACUCCUGGUGUUUUAUUCUCCUUUCCAACAAACCAACUCGGGGAAGUUUUAGACUUCAACAAUUUUGGGGGCUCGGUCCGGGAUUGGAAAAAGGAGAAGGAAUUCGAUCUGGUCCAGACAACCUACGCGAGAUUCACAGGUUCCGAGCCGGCUCAUGAUAAAGGUAAGCAGAGCCUGUUAUAUCUAAAUCUGCAUAUUGGCUGUGAACUAAAUUGUGGACCUGUGAAAAACGUAGUGGGACUGGUUUAAAUUCAGGAGGUCAGAGGAACGGUCUGUGAGUUAGAGUCUCACUGUAAGUCGGGUUAGAGGCCCGUUACCGGUGUGUGAGUUAGAGUCUCACUGUAAGUCGGGUUAGAGGCCCGUUACCGGUGUGUGAGUUAGAGUCUCACUGUAAGUCGGGUUAGAGGCCCGUUAAUCGUUCUAGGGUUGACUACCCUACGCCACUUCCCGACGGGGACGGUGGAGAGUUGGGAGUUAGAGUCUUGGCAACCAGUCGGGUUAGAGGCCCGAGGACUUAGGGGCACCUCGAAAUACUUAUUGUGUGUAAAGGUUCAGCUGGGUUAGAGGCCCGGGGAGUUUGGAACUCCCCAAAUUCUUUAUAAGAAAACUGGGUUCGAGUCCCAAAAGUGUUGGGUCAGGGACCCGUUCAGCUGGGUUAGAGGCCCAGGGAGUUUGGAACUCCCUGAAUUUUUUAUAAGAGAACUGGGUUCAAGUCCCAAAAGUGUUGGGUCAGGGACCCGUUCAGCUGGGUUAGAGGCCCGGGGAGUUUGGAACUCCCCAAAUGUUUUAUGAGAAAACUGGGUUUGAGUCCCAAAAGUGUUGGGUCAGGGACCCGUUAAU
Molecule: long non-coding RNA, 1252 nt
Organism: Esox lucius (northern pike)
Lineage: Eukaryota; Metazoa; Chordata; Actinopteri; Esociformes; Esocidae
Source: Ensembl